RNAcentral lists this ribosomal RNA (249 nucleotides) under uncultured bacterium. RNAcentral's name for it is "partial 16S ribosomal RNA". It matches the Rfam family "Bacterial small subunit ribosomal RNA", at positions 15 to 263 of the family's 1533-position model. The record is from RNAcentral.
GAUCCUGCUCAGGACGAACGCUGGCGGCGUGCCUAACACAUGCAAGUCGAACGGAAGUUAGAGCUUCGGUUUUAACUUUAGUGGCGAACGGGUGAGUAACGCGUGAGGAACCUGCCUUUCAGUGGGGGACAACAGUUGGAAACGACUGCUAAUACCGCAUGACACUUUUGGGAGACAUCUCCUGGAAGUCAAAGCUUUAUGUGCUGAAAGAUGGCCUCGCGUCUGAUUAGCUGGUUGGUGAGGUAACGG